CGGAACUCUUCGGAGGGAAGGCAGCGGAAUGAGCGGCGGACGGGUGAGUAACACGUAAGGAACCUGCCUCAAGGAUUGGGAUAACUCCGAGAAAUCGGAGCUAAUACCGGAUAGUUCAACGGACCGCAUGGUCCGCUGAUGAAAGGCGCUUCGGCGUCACCUUGAGAUGGCCUUGCGGUGCAUUAGCUAGUUGGUGGGGUAACGGCCCACCAAGGCGACGAUGCAUAGCCGACCUGAGAGGGUGAUCGGCCACACUGGGACUGAGACACGGCCCAGACUCCUACGGGAGGCAGCAGUAGGGAAUCUUCCACAAUGGACGAAAGUCUGAUGGAGCAACGCCGCGUGAGUGAUGAAGGUUUUCGGAUCGUAAAACUCUGUUGUAAGGGAAGAACACGUACGAGAGGUAAUGCUCGUACCUUGACGGUACCUUACGAGAAAGCCACGGCUAACUACGUGCCAGCAGCCGCGGUAAUACGUAGGUGGCAAGCGUUGUCCGGAAUUAUUGGGCGUAAAGCGCGCGCAGGCGGCCUUUUAAGUCUGAUGUGAAAGCCCCCGGCUCAACCGGGGAGGGCCAUUGGAAACUGGAAGGCUUGAGUACAGAAGAGAAGAGUGGAAUUCCACGUGUAGCGGUGAAAUGCGUAGAGAUGUGGAGGAACACCA
RNAcentral lists this ribosomal RNA (660 nucleotides) under bacterium Pu.J15. RNAcentral describes it as "bacterial SSU rRNA". It matches the Rfam family "Bacterial small subunit ribosomal RNA", at positions 67 to 711 of the family's 1533-position model. The record is from RNAcentral.